This 1692-nucleotide long non-coding RNA is filed under the name Oryctolagus cuniculus (rabbit). Its description in RNAcentral is "lncRNA (ENSOCUG00000037806.1)". The record is from RNAcentral. Lineage: Eukaryota; Metazoa; Chordata; Mammalia; Lagomorpha; Leporidae.
ACGCCACCAGGGAGAGCAGCUACAGCCAAUGCCAGGAAAACCGCAGCAGAGUGUCUGAAGACAGAGCCGUUUAGCUCCCCUGAAGAAAGGCACACGGAGCCAGAAACAUCUGGGUUUGCCCUGUCGCUAGCUCACUGUGGGUCCUCGAGCCACUGCCAUGUCCACAGCCUGCAACAAGGACAUGAGCAGACAGCAGCAGCCUUGCUGAAGUUGGGAAAGGAAGCUGUCUGCCUCUCUCUGCUCUCUCCCCGCUCAGGUGAGUGCACCCUGGCGCACCUCUGUGGGACUGUGUGGGGUUUUGUAGAACACAAAUUGAAAGUUACAGACAUACUUAAAAACCCUCAGUCUGCAGAGAACAGCGAGGCCCAGAGGGCUUGCAGACUGCCGAUCCGGAACUCAAACAGAUCCAGGCCCAAACCACUUGCUCUGUCUGUUGUGUGGUGCUGUUUCUCUUUUACUUCCAAGAAGAGGUAUUUGUCCUGCCUGCCAUUCCCUCCUAGUUUCAUACACUAAUGCUAAUUGGAUGUUUACAGCCGAUAAUCAAGUUGUAACUGCCAAAGUCCAAGGAGGAAACAGAUGGCGCACGCCAGUUAGGAUAAUUCCAGGUGAGUUUAAUGAAGGUACUAGAUCCACAGGUGUGUGCAGUUUCAGGGAGAGCAGUGUCAGAGCCUUUGCCGUCUGUAGCCCUGGAAGGAUGAAGGGAGGGAGUAGAUUUUUUUUUUAAAGUAGGUUCUUAAGAGCCAGGGAGAGAGACCUGUGUUGAGAGAAGCAGUGACCUUUGACCAGGGACCCAGCCAGCCCAGGCUGACUUAUCAGGAAGAGAGCUGGGCAAUAACACUCACGCGCAUUACCUCUCUCUCUCUCUUGUCUCUGUUAGGAAUCUCCACUGGCUGAACCUGGCUGGAAGUUAAAGGCAUUGAGUUUGGCGGCAGAGGUCAGUGGAUCUGGGGGCAAAUGGAAGCUACACAAGGUUGUGUUCUUAGUGAGGGACUCCUGAAGUCAUGGACUGCUGGGGUCUCUGAUUCUGUGGGAAAACAGGGGGGAAAGUCAUCUUUGGAAGGGAACUUCCCCAAGCACCCCUGCUCACACCAUACAGCCUGUCCCUCUGAGAGUGGCCUCUGUUCUCUGUUGCCUUGACACAGCUCCCAUCUACCGACCUUUUAUUUAUUUGAGAGGUAGAGUUACAGACAGAGAAAGGGAGAGACAGAGAGAGAGGUUGUCCAUCCACUGGUUCACUCCCCAGAUGGCUGCUGCAAUGGCCAGAGCUGGACAGAUCUAAAGUCAGGAGCCAGGAGUUUCUUCCAGGUCUCCCACAUGGGUGUCAGGGGCCCAAGUACUUGAGCCAUCAUCUGCUGCUUCCUAGGGUGUGUUAGCAGGAAGCUGGAUGGAAAGCAGAGUAGCUGGGACUCAGACCAGUGCUCUGACAUAGGAUGCAGACAUCCCAAGCAGCAGCUUAACCCUCUGUGCCAUAGUGCUCACCCUUCUCCAUAUUUCAACUCAAGAUUAAGUUAGUAAAAUUAAAUAGAGCCAAUAUGUCUCAUCUGCUCUUUUUUCUGAAAACAACCACAGCAUUCUUCUGUAUUUCCUUCUAUGUUAGCCCUCACUUAAUUUGUUAGUGUGAAGUAGAUGAUUGUUAAACAUUUGUUGAAUUGGAGUGAAUAAUAUGAGGAAUAAAUAAUCCCUUAGGGGCCA